UGGGGAAUAUUGCACAAUGGGCGCAAGCCUGAUGCAGCCAUGCCGCGUGUGUGAAGAAGGCCUUCGGGUUGUAAAGCACUUUCAGCGAGGAGGAAGGCGUUAAGGUUAAUAACCUUAGCGAUUGACGUUACUCGCAGAAGAAGCACCGGCUAACUCCGUGCCAGCAGCCGCGGUAAUACGGAGGGUGCAAGCGUUAAUCGGAAUUACUGGGCGUAAAGCGCACGCAGGCGGUUUGUUAAGUCAGAUGUGAAAUCCCCGAGCUUAACUUGGGAACUGCAUUUGAAACUGGCAAGCUAGAGUCUUGUAGAGGGGGGUAGAAUUCCAGGUGUAGCGGUGAAAUGCGUAGAGAUCUGGAGGAAUACCGGUGGCGAAGGCGGCCCCCCUGGACAAAGACUGACGCUCAGGUGCGAAAGCGUGGGGCAGCAAACAGGAUUAGAUACCCUGGUAGUCCAGCGCUGUAAACGGAUGUCGAC
Molecule: ribosomal RNA, 473 nt
Filed under: uncultured bacterium
Lineage: Bacteria
Description: partial 16S ribosomal RNA
Rfam family: Bacterial small subunit ribosomal RNA
Source: RNAcentral